GCUCUGCGAGUUUGCUCCCAUAUUGUUGCAGUUAAAACGCCCGUAGUCUGAAUUUCCCUGUUAUGGGGAUUACGUUAUUUAUAUAACGUUCACUGUGAACAAAUCAGGACGCUUAGUGUAUGGCAUCAGGAAUGACUUAGCGCAGUAUGAUAUCUUUACCUUUGGUAAGAUCAAUGAGAGCCACCGGGGGUAGAUCUAUUUCAUGGCGAGCNGUGGAAUGCUUUGACCCAUGAGAGAGAAACGAAGGCNAAGGCAUCUACCUAGAGGGUUUCUGUCGNUCAAGGGNNNGNGUAGGAGUAUCCAACCGGAUUAGAGACCCGGGUAGUUCCUACCUUAAACGAUGCCGACAGGGGCUUGUCCUUUUAUUGGGGCAGGNCCUUAGGAGAAAUCAUAGUUCUUGGGCUCUGGGGGAACUACGACNGCAAGGCUGAAACUUGAAGGAAUUGACGGAAGGGCACACCAGGGGUGGAGCUUGUGGCUUAAUUUGAAUCAACACGGGAAACUUACCAGGACCAGAUGUUUUUAAGGACUGACAGGCUUCGGGUCUUUCAGGAUAUGAUUUUUGGUGGUGCAUGGCCGUUGGUGGUGCGUGGGUUGACCUGUCUAGCGUUGAUUCAGAUAACGAGCGAGAUUAUCGCCAAUUAUAUACAAAGCAUUUUUUAAAAUGUCUUUGUUCUAAUUGGGACUCCCUGCGAUUAAGCAGGCGGAAGAGGGUAGCAAUAACAGGNCNGUGAUGUCCUUUAGAUGCUCUGGGCUGCANGNGNGCUACAAUGUUAGGAUCAAAGGGAUGCAAAGCCGAAAGGCAGCGCUACUCUGUCAAUACCUAACGUAGUUGGGAUUGAUGGUUGUAAUCACCAUCAUGAACCAGGAAUCCCUUGUAAUUGCGUGUCAACAGCGNGNGUUGAAUACGUCCCUGCCCUUUG
RNAcentral lists this ribosomal RNA (923 nucleotides) under Hindgut symbiont of Neotermes jouteli. RNAcentral's name for it is "SSU rRNA". It matches the Rfam family "Eukaryotic small subunit ribosomal RNA", at positions 588 to 1662 of the family's 1831-position model. Lineage: Eukaryota; Parabasalia. The record is from RNAcentral.